UAGGUUUAUCCUAAGUCAAACUAUUUUAAGUUUGACCAAGUUUGUAGAAAAGUUUGUCGACAUUUAUGAAACCUAAUAAGUAUACUAUGAAAAUAUGUUACAUGUUGAAUCUAAUGAUACUUAUUUGGUAAUAUAAAUAUCAGUACUUUUUGUAUAAACUUGGUCAAACAUAAGAUAGUUUGGCUUAGGACAACUAGA
Molecule: microRNA precursor, 198 nt
Filed under: Zea mays
Lineage: Eukaryota; Viridiplantae; Streptophyta; Magnoliopsida; Poales; Poaceae
Description: MIR1435 microRNA precursor family
Rfam family: MIR1435 microRNA precursor family
Source: Rfam by way of RNAcentral